Non-coding RNA from Schistosoma mansoni, 45 nucleotides. NCBI's taxonomy places the organism in Eukaryota, Metazoa, Platyhelminthes, Trematoda, Strigeidida, Schistosomatidae. The record is from Rfam.
ACCCAGCUGACCAGUCCCAAAUAUGGCGAAACGCGGGUCCUGGGU